GCAGCUGCCGGACACCAGGAGACGAUGGAAGGUCUAUAGUGUUACAGCUCUGACCCAGGAAGUCCCAGGGUCUUGCCUUCCAGAAGGGUCGCGGCUCUUCCCUCCCUCAGUCCAACGAACAGGAGCACGUCACCUCCCGCAGCUCGGGGAGCUGGCCAGGAACGUGUUACAGCCCGUUUCGCUCCUGUCCGCAGCUGGGUGAGGCAGCCAGGAAAAUAUUACAGCUCUUCUCACGCCCGCCAUUCAGCAGGUCCUGACUUCUUGUGUGACAUCCAGAAGAAAGGGGUUACACAGACAGCUGGAGGGUGAGCAAAGUGGAGAAGUUCUCAGCAGAGAGGAGACUGGAGUGAGUUGCCCCUACCCGCAGAUUCCAAACCAUAUUUGAGCAGGGAGAAAAAUCAGUGCACUUGAAGAUAAGACAAUGGAAAUUGAGUCUUGGAAGAAGAGGGAACAGAUUCUGUGGGACACAGCAAACAGACCACCAUGUGCAUUGUGGGAAUCCCCGAAGAAGAAGAAAAAGAAAAUGGAAUAAAAUACUCAAAGAAAUAGUGGCUAAAAACCUCUUAAAUGAAAAAGAUACAAGUACGAACAUUAAAAAAAUUCAAAACACAUCAAAAUGAAAUCAAAGAGACCCACACUAAGACACUUUAUAAUCAAUCUUUUGAAAGAUAAAGACAAAAAGAAGAUCUUAAAAGCAGCAAGAUAACUGACUUACAUACAAGAGAUCAGCAAUACCAUUAUCAGAUUUCUCAUGAGACAUUUUGAAGGCCAGAAGGCAUUGGACCUUGAAAAUCUCCCAAGUGCUGAAAGAAAAAGCAAAAACAAAACAAAAAAACCCACAAAAACAAAACAAAACAAAAUAGCCACAAAAAAUGCUGUCAACCAAGAAUCCUAUAGAAAAUCUGUCCUUCAAAUGUAAGAAAUUAAAACAUUUUUAGAUGAACAAAGCUUUGGGAAUUUAUUACCACUAGACCUACUCUACAGAAAAGUUUCAAGGGACUUCUACAAAAUGAAAUAACACUAGACAGUAAUUUGAAGCCAUAUAAAGAAAUAAAGAUGUCAACAAAGGAAAGACAGCAUUCAAGGAACCACCUUGUACGCAGACACUGAAACCUCGCGAGACAACAAAACUGCUGACACCUUGAUCUUGGACUUCCCAGCCUCCAGAACUAUAAACCAGCAAAGAGUACAUAGAACAAACAUUUUUUUUAGAAGGAUUAAAUGGGACAAUUAAACAAUUUGAUCAGCAUAAUGUCCAGCUCAAGGAUCUUGGAGGUGGUGAGGCAGCCCAAGUGGAAAGGCAGCAGAAGGGGUAUCCUUGUUUUACCAAUUACUCAUAUGUAGGAGAUGGUGCAUUAAAUGAAAUAUUCUCUGCUCUCUCCUAACAUCUACCCCCUCACACCAAGAGGAAGGCAUGUCGCCUGAACCUUUGCAGUAUUCAAUUAAAGUUCUAUUCACACGGUAUUGCAGUUGUUUGCUUAUCUUUCUUUCUUAUUAGACUUAAAACUUCUGGAAACUAGAGGCUAUAUUACUUAUUUGCCUCAGAGUCCUGUUGGCCUAUCAAAUGGCACACCUUCAAUCCAAGAAUGAAUUAAUUAAAUAAAUGUGAAGAAAAAAAAAAUCCAAGUUGCUUAUUUUUGUUAAAUUUAUUUUUCCCCAAAAUAUUUACUGAGAAAAUGACUCUGGGAAGAUAGCAGAGUGGAAAGCCCCAGAAAUGUGUUUCCCCACCUAGACAACAACUGUACUGGCAGAAUCUGUUUGAUGUGACUAUUCUGAAGUUCUGAAUUGAAUAAAUAUGAAGAAAAUACAAA
RNAcentral lists this long non-coding RNA (1811 nucleotides) under Homo sapiens (human). RNAcentral describes it as "uncharacterized LOC102724542, transcript variant 10 (LOC102724542)". Lineage: Eukaryota; Metazoa; Chordata; Mammalia; Primates; Hominidae. The record is from RNAcentral.